RNAcentral lists this transfer RNA (85 nucleotides) under Felis catus (domestic cat). It matches the Rfam family "tRNA". From Rfam's summary of the family: Transfer RNA (tRNA) molecules are approximately 80 nucleotides in length. Their secondary structure includes four short double-helical elements and three loops (D, anti-codon, and T loops). Lineage: Eukaryota; Metazoa; Chordata; Mammalia; Carnivora; Felidae. The record is from Rfam by way of RNAcentral.
GCCAGGGUGGCUCAGUUGGUUAAGCAUCUGACUUCGGAUCAGGUUAUGAUCACACAAUUUGUGAGUUCGAGUCCCACAUCGGGCU